RNAcentral lists this ribosomal RNA (399 nucleotides) under Chloroparva pannonica. RNAcentral describes it as "partial small subunit ribosomal RNA". It matches the Rfam family "Eukaryotic small subunit ribosomal RNA", at positions 30 to 432 of the family's 1831-position model. The record is from RNAcentral. Lineage: Eukaryota; Viridiplantae; Chlorophyta; Trebouxiophyceae; Chlorellales; Chlorellaceae.
GCUUGUCUCAAAGAUUGCCAUGCAUGUCUAAGUAUAAACUGCUUAUACUGUGAAACUGCGAAUGGCUCAUUAAAUCAGUUAUAGUUUAUUUGAUGGUACUUACUUACUCGGAUAACCGUAGUAAUUCUAGAGCUAAUACGUGCGUAAAUCCCGACUUCUGGAAGGGACGUAUUUAUUAGAUAAAAGGCCGACCGGGCUCUGCCCGACUCGCGGUGAAUCAUGAUAACUUCACGAAUCGCACGGCCUCGUGCCGGCGAUGUUUCAUUCAAAUUUCUGCCCUAUCAACUUUUGAUGGUAGGAUAGAGGCCUACCAUGGUGGUAACGGGUGACGGAGGAUUAGGGUUCGAUUCCGGAGAGGGAGCCUGAGAAACGGCUACCACAUCCAAGGAAGGCAGCAGG